RNAcentral lists this ribosomal RNA (253 nucleotides) under uncultured bacterium. RNAcentral describes it as "partial 16S ribosomal RNA". It matches the Rfam family "Bacterial small subunit ribosomal RNA", at positions 524 to 776 of the family's 1533-position model. The record is from RNAcentral.
UACAGAGGGGGCAAGCGUUAUUCGGAAUUAUUGGGCGUAAAGGGCGCGUAGGCGGCCAUUCAAGUGACGGGUGAAAGCCCUCGGCCUAACCGAGGAACUGCCUGUCAGACUGGAUGGCUUGAGACCGGGAGAGGUGAGUGGAAUUCCCAGUGUAGCGGUGAAAUGCGCAGAUAUCAGGAGGAACACCAAUGGCGAAGGCAGCUCGCUGGGACGGUACUGACGCUGAGACGCGAAAGCGUGGGGAGCAAACAGG